CAGUCGCCGCGGUAAUACGAGGGGGGCAAGCGUUGUUCGGAAUUAUUGGGCGUAAAGGGCGCGUAGGCGGUUUGGCAAGUUUGGUGUGAAAUCUUCGGGCUCAACUCGAAGUCUGCAUCGAAAACUGCCGGGCUUGAGUAUGGGAGAGGUGAGUGGAAUUUCCGGUGUAGCGGUGAAAUGCGUAGAUAUCGGAAGGAACACCUGUGGCGAAAGCGGCUCACUGGACCAUAACUGACGCUGAGGCGCGAAAGCUAGGGGAGCAAACAGGAUUAGAUACCCCGGUAGUCCCUGUCUCUUAUAA
This 301-nucleotide ribosomal RNA is filed under the name uncultured bacterium. Its description in RNAcentral is "partial 16S ribosomal RNA". It matches the Rfam family "Bacterial small subunit ribosomal RNA", at positions 509 to 809 of the family's 1533-position model. The record is from RNAcentral.